This 507-nucleotide ribosomal RNA is filed under the name uncultured Flavobacteriales bacterium. Its description in RNAcentral is "bacterial SSU rRNA". It matches the Rfam family "Bacterial small subunit ribosomal RNA", at positions 73 to 579 of the family's 1533-position model. The record is from RNAcentral. Lineage: Bacteria; Pseudomonadati; Bacteroidota; Flavobacteriia; Flavobacteriales.
GAGCAGCUUGCUGCUUUGAGACCGGCGCACGGGUGCGUAACGCGUAUACAAUCUACCUUUUACAGAGGGAUAGCCCAGAGAAAUUUGGAUUAAUACCUCAUAGUAUUUUCGGAUCGCAUGAUUUGAUUAUUAAAGUUCCAACGGUAAAAGAUGAGUAUGCGUCCCAUUAGCUAGAUGGUAAGGUAACGGCUUACCAUGGCUACGAUGGGUAGGGGUCCUGAGAGGGAGAUCCCCCACACUGGUACUGAGACACGGACCAGACUCCUACGGGAGGCAGCAGUGAGGAAUAUUGGACAAUGGGCGCAAGCCUGAUCCAGCCAUGCCGCGUGCAGGAAGAAGGUCCUAUGGAUUGUAAACUGCUUUUAUACAGGAAGAAACACCUCUACGUGUAGAGACUUGACGGUACUGUAUGAAUAAGGACCGGCUAACUCCGUGCCAGCAGCCGCGGUAAUACGGAGGGUCCAAGCGUUAUCCGGGAUCAUUGGGUUUAAAGGGUCCGUAGGCGGC